UGGGGAAUAUUGCGCAAUGGGCGAAAGCCUGACGCAGCGACGCCGCGUGGGUGAUGAAGGCCUUCGGGUCGUAAAGCCCUGUCGGGAGGGACGAAACCUCGGUGACCUAAUACGUCACCGACCUGACGGUACCUCUUAAGGAAGCACCGGCUAACUCCGUGCCAGCAGGCGCGGUAAUACGGAGGGUGCGAGCGUUAUCCGGAUUUACUGGGUUUAAAGGGUGCGUAGGUGGGCUUAUAAGUCAGUGGUGAAAUCUCCGAGCUUAACUUGGAAACUGCCGUUGAUACUAUAGGUCUUGAAUUAUCUGGAGGUAAGCGGAAUAUGUCAUGUAGCGGUGAAAUGCUUAGAUAUUACAUAGAACACCAAUUGCGAAGGCAGCUUACUACAUAUAAAUUGACGCUGAGGCACGAAAGCGUGGGGAUCAAACA
Molecule: ribosomal RNA, 428 nt
Filed under: uncultured bacterium
Lineage: Bacteria
Description: bacterial SSU rRNA
Rfam family: Bacterial small subunit ribosomal RNA
Source: RNAcentral